GCGGUGGAUGAUGUGGAUUAAUUCGAUGCAACGCGAAAACCUUACCUACCCUUGACAUGCCAGGAACUUUCCAGAGAUGGAUUGGUGCCCGAAAGGGAGCCUGGACACAGGUGCUGCAUGGCUGUCGUCAGCUCGUGUCGUGAGAUGUUGGGUUAAGUCCCGCAACGAGCGCAACCCUUGUCAUUAAUUGCCAUCAUUCAGUUGGGCACUUUAAUGAGACUGCCGGUGACAAACCGGAGGAAGGUGGGGAUGACGUCAAGUCCUCAUGGCCCUUAUGGGUAGGGCUUCACACGUCAUACAAUGGUCGGUACAGAGGGUUGCCAAGCCGCGAGGUGGAGCCAAUCCCAGAAAGCCGAUCGUAGUCCGGAUCGCAGUCUGCAACUCGACUGCGUGAAGUCGGAAUCGCUAGUAAUCGCGGAUCAGCAUGUCGCGGUGAAUACGUUCCCGGGUCUU
RNAcentral lists this ribosomal RNA (453 nucleotides) under uncultured Azospira sp. RNAcentral describes it as "bacterial SSU rRNA". It matches the Rfam family "Bacterial small subunit ribosomal RNA", at positions 929 to 1382 of the family's 1533-position model. The record is from RNAcentral. Lineage: Bacteria; Pseudomonadati; Pseudomonadota; Betaproteobacteria; Rhodocyclales; Rhodocyclaceae.